RNAcentral lists this ribosomal RNA (886 nucleotides) under Penicillium chalabudae. Its description in RNAcentral is "LSU rRNA". It matches the Rfam family "Eukaryotic large subunit ribosomal RNA", at positions 63 to 967 of the family's 3401-position model. The record is from RNAcentral. Lineage: Eukaryota; Fungi; Ascomycota; Eurotiomycetes; Eurotiales; Aspergillaceae.
AGACAACCGGGAUUGCCCUAGUAACGGCGAGUGAAGCGGCAAGAGCUCAAAUUUGAAAGCUGGCUCCUUCGGGGUCCGCAUUGUAAUUUGCAGAGGAUGCUUCGGGAGCGGUCCCCAUCUAAGUGCCCUGGAACGGGCCGUCAUAGAGGGUGAGAAUCCCGUCUGGGAUGGGGUGCCCGCGCCCGUGUGAAGCUCCUUCGACGAGUCGAGUUGUUUGGGAAUGCAGCUCUAAUUGGGUGGUAAAUUUCAUCUAAAGCUAAAUAUUGGCCGGAGACCGAUAGCGCACAAGUAGAGUGAUCGAAAGAUGAAAAGCACUUUGAAAAGAGAGUUAAACAGCACGUGAAAUUGUUGAAAGGGAAGCGCUUGCGAUCAGACUCGCCCGCGGGGUUCAGCCGGCAUUCGUGCCGGUGUACUUCCCCGUGGGCGGGCCAGCGUCGGUUUGGGCGGCCGGUCAAAGGCCCCUGGAAUGUAACGCCUCUCGGGGCGUCUUAUAGCCAGGGGUGCCAUGCGGCCUGCCCGGACCGAGGAACGCGCUUCGGCUCGGACGCUGGCAUAAUGGUCGUAAGCGACCCGUCUUGAAACACGGACCAAGGAGUCUAACAUCUACGCGAGUGUUCGGGUGUCAAACCCGUGCGCGCAGUGAAAGCGAACGGAGGUGGGAACCCCCCGGGGUGCACCAUCGACCGAUCCUGAUGUCUUCGGAUGGAUUUGAGUAAGAGCGUAGCUGUUGGGACCCGAAAGAUGGUGAACUAUGCCUGAAUAGGGCGAAGCCAGAGGAAACUCUGGUGGAGGCUCGCAGCGGUUCUGACGUGCAAAUCGAUCGUCAAAUUUGGGUAUAGGGGCGAAAGACUAAUCGAACCAUCUAGUAGCUGGUUCCUGCCGAUUU